GUCCCCCUGACCGGGGCAGUUACCCAGAGUGGGUGCGAGGCCCAUAGCUGCUAKGUCCGCCGCGGAUGUGAUCUCUUGGGAGUCAGGUUGCUUGGGAGUGCAGCCCCAAUUGGGUGGUAAACUCCACCUAAKACUAAAUACGGCCGUGAGACCGAUAGCAAACAAGUACCGUGAGGGAAAGUUGCAAAGAACUUUGAAGAGAGAGUUCAAGAGUACGUGAAACUGCUCAGAGGCAAACGGGUGGGCCCUCGAAAUCCCUUGGCAGGGGGAUUCAGUUUGGAAGGGCCUGGGCGGCGUACGCUGGACUCCGACCGGAGCCGAGCGAACGUCGUGGUCUGGGUCCGACCUGACGCAUUUCUCCCUGCACUGGGACGCCGCAUCCGGUUGGGUAGCUGCGUGAGUCGGCCAUGUGGGCGAGCUCCGGAAGGUGGCCGGUGGCGGGGUUCCCUGCUGCCGGUUGUUAGCCUGUUCGCUCGUGGCGCGACACCCGACCGAGGUUAAUUGGUUCCCGUGUGGGAACUUGCCGUCUCCUCCGGAGCGGAUGCUGGCAAGUGAAUCGCGGCUGCGCUGCUCUACUGCCGUAGUGUCUGGCGUGCCGCGUACUCUGUUGGGGUGCCACGGCUAGCGGCGAUAUGGUCGGUCACCCACCCGACCCCUCUUGAAGCACGGACCAAGGAGUCUAACAUGUGCGCGAGUCAUUGGGUCUUGAACAGGCCCACAGGCGCAAUGAAAGUGAAGGCCGGCAUUCCGUCGGCCAUGUUGGGAUCUCCCGUCCCUCGUGGCGGGAAAGCACCAACGAUCCGUCCCGUCCGAUUUAUCGGUGGGGCGGAAUCGGAGCGCACACGUUGGGACCCGAAAGAUGGUGAACUAUGCCUGGGCAGGAUGAAGCCAGAGGAAAC
This 899-nucleotide ribosomal RNA is filed under the name Pelicinus sp. 65. Its description in RNAcentral is "eukaryotic LSU rRNA". It matches the Rfam family "Eukaryotic large subunit ribosomal RNA", at positions 185 to 862 of the family's 3401-position model. Lineage: Eukaryota; Metazoa; Arthropoda; Arachnida; Araneae; Oonopidae. The record is from RNAcentral.